This 432-nucleotide ribosomal RNA is filed under the name uncultured bacterium. RNAcentral describes it as "partial 16S ribosomal RNA". It matches the Rfam family "Bacterial small subunit ribosomal RNA", at positions 29 to 506 of the family's 1533-position model. The record is from RNAcentral.
AACGAACGCUGGCGGCAUGCCUAACACAUGCAAGUCGAACGAGACCUUCGGGUCUAGUGGCGCACGGGUGCGUAACGCGUGGGAACCUGCCCUUAGGUUCGGAAUACCUCCCCGAAAGGGGUGCUAAUACCGGAUAAUGUCUUCGGACCAAAGAUUUAUCGCCUUUGGAUGGGCCCGCGUUGGAUUAGCUAGUUGGUAGGGUAAACGCCUACCAAGGCGACGAUCCGUAGCUGGUCUGAGAGGAUGAUCAGCCACACUGGGACUGAGACACGGCCCAGACUGCUACGAGAGGCAGCAGUGGGGAAUAUUGGACAGGGAGCGAAAGGCUGAUCCAGCAAGGCCGCGUGAGUGAUGAAGGCCUUAGGGUUGUAAAGCUCUUUUACCCGGGAGGAUAAUGACAGAACCGGGAGAAUAAGCUCCGGCUAACACCGU